UUUCGCAAUGCCCGAAAGGGUGACGAAGCGACGCCGCGUGUGGGAAGAAGGCCUUCGGGUUGUAAACCACUGUCGGGAGUUAGGAAAUGCAGGUGCGUUAAUAGCGCACUUGCUUGAUUAAGGCUCCAGAGGAAGCCACGGCUAACUCUGUGCCAGCAGCCGCGGUAAUACAGAGGCGGCAAGCGUUGUUCGGAAUUAUUGGGCGUAAAGAGCACGUAGGCGGCCUUGCAAGUCAGUUGUGAAAGCCUUCCGCUUAACGGAAGAACGGCAUCUGAUACUACAGGGCUUGAGUACGGGAGGGGAGAGUGGAACUUCUGGUGGAGCGGUGAAAUGCGUAGAUAUCAGAAGGAACGCCGGCGGCGAAAGCGACUCUCUGGUCCGAAGCUGACGCUGAGUGUGCGAAAGCUAGGGGAGCAAACGGGAUUAGAUACCCCGGUAGUCCUAGCCGUAAACGAUGGGCACUAAGUAGAGGGGUUUU
This 478-nucleotide ribosomal RNA is filed under the name uncultured Planctomycetales bacterium. RNAcentral describes it as "bacterial SSU rRNA". It matches the Rfam family "Bacterial small subunit ribosomal RNA", at positions 364 to 832 of the family's 1533-position model. RNAcentral also lists the same sequence under 1 other name. Lineage: Bacteria; Pseudomonadati; Planctomycetota; Planctomycetia; Planctomycetales. The record is from RNAcentral.